This 198-nucleotide unclassified non-coding RNA is filed under the name Cicerbita crassicaulis. Its description in RNAcentral is "Steptorhamphus crassicaulis sequence contains ITS2". Lineage: Eukaryota; Viridiplantae; Streptophyta; Magnoliopsida; Asterales; Asteraceae. The record is from RNAcentral.
CCAACGGGUAGUUAUGUAAUUGGGGGCGGAUAAUGGCCUCCCGUGCUUGUGUUUCGGUUGGCCUAAAUAAGAGUUCCCUUCGGCGGACGCACGACUAGUGGUGGUUGAAUAGACCCUCGUCUUGUGUUGUGUGUCGUGAGCUGUAAGGGAAGCCCUCAUUAAAGACCCCAUUGUAUCGUCACUUGACGAUGCUUCGAC